UAGGGAAUCUUCGGCAAUGGACGAAAGUCUGACCGAGCAACGCCGCGUGAGUGAAGAAGGUUUUCGGAUCGUAAAACUCUGUUGUUAGAGAAGAACAAGGACGUUAGUAACUGAACGUCCCCUGGCGGUAUCUAACCAGAAAGCCACGGCUAACUACGUGCCAGCAGCCGCGGUAAUACGUAGGUGGCAAGCGUUGUCCGGAUUUAUUGGGCGUAAAGCGAGCGCAGGCGGUUUCUUAAGUCUGAUGUGAAAGCCCCCGGCUCAACCGGGGAGGGUCAUUGGAAACUGGGAGACUUGAGUGCAGAAGAGGAGAGUGGAAUUCCAUGUGUAGCGGUGAAAUGCGUAGAUAUAUGGAGGAACACCAGUGGCGAAGGCGGCUCUCUGGUCUGUAACUGACGCUGAGGCUCGAAAGCGUGGGGAGCAAACAGG
RNAcentral lists this ribosomal RNA (429 nucleotides) under Chloroflexota bacterium. RNAcentral describes it as "Chloroflexi bacterium partial 16S ribosomal RNA". It matches the Rfam family "Bacterial small subunit ribosomal RNA", at positions 355 to 776 of the family's 1533-position model. Lineage: Bacteria; Bacillati; Chloroflexota. The record is from RNAcentral. RNAcentral also lists the same sequence under 1 other name.